GACGAACGCUGGCGGCGUGCUUAACACAUGCAAGUCGAACGGAAAGGCCCUGCUUUUGUGGGGUGCUCGAGUGGCGAACGGGGGAGUAACACGUGAGUAACCUGCCCUUGACUUUGGGAUAACUUCAGGAAACUGGGGCUAAUACCGGAUAGGAGCUCCUGCUGCAUGGUGGGGGGUGGAAAGUUUCGGCGGUUGGGGCUGGACUCGCGGCUUAUCAGCUUGUUGGUGGGGUAGUGGCUUACCAAGGCUUUGACGGGUAGCCGGCCUGAGAGGGUGACCGGCCACAUUGGGACUGCGAUACGGCCCAGACUCCUACGGGAGGCAGCAGUGGGGAAUAUUGCACAAUGGGCGGAAGCCUGAUGCAGCAACGCCGCGUGCGGGAUGACGGCCUUCGGGUUGUAAACCGCUUUCGCCUGUGACGAAGCGUGAGUGACGGUAAUGGGUAAAGAAGCACCGGCUAACUACGUG
RNAcentral lists this ribosomal RNA (468 nucleotides) under uncultured bacterium. RNAcentral describes it as "partial 16S ribosomal RNA". It matches the Rfam family "Bacterial small subunit ribosomal RNA", at positions 28 to 507 of the family's 1533-position model. The record is from RNAcentral.